Molecule: transfer-messenger RNA, 350 nt
Filed under: bacterium
Lineage: Bacteria
Also listed under: 1 other name
Description: Capillibacterium sp012727425 Standard tmRNA
Rfam family: transfer-messenger RNA
About the family: Bacterial tmRNA, also known as 10Sa RNA or SsrA, is named for its dual tRNA and mRNA-like properties. Its role is to liberate the mRNA from a stalled ribosome.
Source: RNAcentral
GGGGGCGACUGGUUUCGACGGGGAGUAUGAUGACAGGGGUAGCGGGUCGAGGUGCUGUGGCCUCGUUAAACUGCAGCAAGCACAAUAAGUGCCGAUAACAAUCUCGCUUUAGCUGCUUAAUUUAAAGCAGCCGUCCAAUCCGGACUUAACCUGGGAGUCCGGCACGGGCGUCACUUAAACCAGGUUGCUCACCGGCCAAUUCUCGGAGGCCGGUGCUAAGACCAUCGAGAUAGUCGUAGUCCAGUUUGUCCGUAGACGGGACCACGGCGAAAAUAAAAUACGGACUGCACCCGGAGAGACUCCUGUGGUCAUCUUUUCGGACGGGGGUUCGAUUCCCCCCGCCUCCACCA